RNAcentral lists this ribosomal RNA (206 nucleotides) under uncultured bacterium. Its description in RNAcentral is "partial 16S ribosomal RNA". It matches the Rfam family "Bacterial small subunit ribosomal RNA", at positions 1299 to 1500 of the family's 1533-position model. The record is from RNAcentral.
UGCAGUCUGCAACUCGACUGCACGAAGCUGGAAUCGCUAGUAAUCGCGGAUCAGCACGCCGCGGUGAAUACGUUCCCGGGCCUUGUACACACCGCCCGUCACACCAUGGAAGUCUGCAAUGCCCGAAGCCGGUGGCCUAACCACUUAUGUGGAAGGAGCCGUCUAAGGCAGGGCAGAUGACUGGGGUGAAGUCGUAACAAGGUAGC